CCUACGGGAGGCAGCAGUGGGGAAUUUUGCGCAAUGGGCUAACGCCUGACGCAGCAACGCCGCGUGGAGGAUGAAGGUCUUUGGAUUGUAAACUCCUGUCAGCAGGGAAAAAGCGAAUCGGCCGAAUACGCCGGUGAGUUGAUUGUACCUGCAGAGGAAGCCCCGGCUAACUCUGUGCCAGCAGCCGCGGUAAUACAGAGGGGGCGAGCGUUAUUCGGAAUUAUUGGGCGUAAAGGGCGCGUAGGUGGCUUGGCAAGUGGAAGGUGAAAUCCCUCGGCUCAACUGAGGAACUGCCUUCCAGACUGCUUUGCUUGAGGCCGGGAGAGGCGAGUGGAAUUCCCAGUGUAGCGGUGAAAUGCGUAGAUAUUGGGAGGAACACCAGUGGCGAAGGCGACUCGCUGGACCGGUUCUGACGCUGAGGCGCGAAAGCGUGGGGAGCA
Molecule: ribosomal RNA, 440 nt
Filed under: uncultured bacterium
Lineage: Bacteria
Description: bacterial SSU rRNA
Rfam family: Bacterial small subunit ribosomal RNA
Source: RNAcentral